CACUCAUUCUCACUUUUCUUCUCUCCUCUUUUUUCUUUCCCCAUCCACCCCUGCCCCCCUCUCUCCACGGCGCGCCGCCCCCAAGCCUCCUCUCUCUGUCGGCCUCGCAGCCCCCUCGCCGCUGGUGAGCUUGCUUGAGAUCUGCCGCAGCCGGAUCCGCCGCCUCCUCCUCCCUCCUCUCCGGCGGCGACCAACGCCACCCCCAUGCUCGGCGCACUCCCAAGCUCUCCGGGGCGGAUCCGCUCGCCCGCCUGCCCGCCCGCAGAGACAGAGGCCCACGGGGCAUCGGCUAUGGCGGAGGAAAGGGCCGGCCAGAUCCGGUGGCCACUCCCUCCGCGCGCGCGCCGUCGUCCGUCGCCGAGCUGCGGUGCGCCUAGGGCUGAGCGGCCACGACUCCGGCGCACGGCGAGCUUGCAGGGACGGCGACCGGCUUUCAUGCUCCUCCUCCGGCGGCGGCGCUCCGGCCUCCCCCACGUCUGCGCUUCCUCCAGGCUCCAAGUCACCGACCACGAGGACAUCGCCGCCGCGCAACCUUCUUCUGUCUCCGGCCUCCUCCUUGCGGGGCCACGACGGCGGCGGCCGGAUCCACACGGGGCCGGGGGCCGGCGGUGGCCGCGGCCGUGGAGGCCCGCGCGGGUCCAAGUGCCGCCCCCUCCCUCCCUCUCCAUGCUGGGGCCUCUGCUCAAGUGUGCCGCUCAGAUCCCGCGGCGGGGCGGAGCAGUGGCCACGGCGAGGCGUCCACGGCUACAAGGCUUUUUUUCUCUAUAUGUUGUGUUGCUUGCUAAUCGAAGGCAUAGAGUUUCUACUUCGAGAUAGUUUGCUGCAUGCACCUUUUUUCGUGCUUCAGAUCAAGAAUGUUUAGGAAAAUGAUCAUUUGCAGUAUUUUUUUCUUGUUAGAUAUCGCCAUCUAUUAAGUUUGACGAGGCUCACCUGUUGUAUAUGAACAAAGAACUAUCACAUUUAUUUUCAAUAGUACAAAUUAGAGGCCAUGUUUAGUCCCAA
Panicum virgatum (switchgrass) is the source of this 1002-nucleotide long non-coding RNA. RefSeq lists it as uncharacterized. The record is from RefSeq and is a predicted model, not a curated record. The transcript is spliced from 2 exons. NCBI's taxonomy places the organism in Eukaryota, Viridiplantae, Streptophyta, Magnoliopsida, Poales, Poaceae.